UACAGAGGGGGCAAGCGUUGUUCGGAAUUACUGGGCGUAAAGGGCGCGUAGGCGGCCUUCUAAGUCGAACGUGAAAUCCCUAGGCUCAACCUAGGAACUGCGUCCGAUACUGGGAGGCUUGAAUCCGGGAGAGGGAUGCGGAAUUCCAGGUGUAGCGGUGAAAUUCGUAGAUAUUGGGAAGAACACCGGUGGCGAAGGCGGCUCUCUGGACCGAUACUGACGCUGAGGCGCGAAAGCGUGGGGAGCAAACAGG
Molecule: ribosomal RNA, 253 nt
Filed under: uncultured bacterium
Lineage: Bacteria
Description: partial 16S ribosomal RNA
Rfam family: Bacterial small subunit ribosomal RNA
Source: RNAcentral